This 480-nucleotide ribosomal RNA is filed under the name uncultured bacterium. RNAcentral describes it as "partial 16S ribosomal RNA". It matches the Rfam family "Bacterial small subunit ribosomal RNA", at positions 28 to 523 of the family's 1533-position model. The record is from RNAcentral.
GACGAACGCUGGCGGCGUGCUUAACACAUGCAAGUCGAGCGGAAAGGCCCUUUCGGGGGUACUCGAGCGGCGAACGGGUGAGUAACACGUGAGUAAUCUGCCCCUGGCUUUGGGAUAGCCACCGGAAACGGUGAUUAAUACCGGAUACGACCACUUCUCGCAUGGGAUGGUGGUGGAAAGGUUUUCGGCCAGGGAUGUGCUCGCGGCCUAUCAGCUUGAUGGUGAGGUAAUGGCUCACCAUGGCUUCGACGGGUAGCCGGCCUGAGAGGGUGACCGGUCACACUGGGACUGAGACACGGCCCAGACUCCUACGGGAGGCAGCAGUGGGGAAUAUUGGACAAUGGGCGGAAGCCUGAUCCAGCAACGCCGCGUGAGAGACGACGGCCUUCGGGUUGUAAACCUCUUUCAGCAGGGACGAAGCGCAAGUGACGGUACCUGCAGAAGAAGCACCGGCCAACUACGUGCCAGCCGCCGCAGUAA